GCCCGGCUAGCUCAAUGGCCAGAGCGUGGGACUUUUAAGCAGAAGAGAUCCCAAGGUUGCGGGUUCGACCCCCGCGUCGGGCG
RNAcentral lists this transfer RNA (83 nucleotides) under Olpidium bornovanus. It matches the Rfam family "tRNA". Rfam says of the family: Transfer RNA (tRNA) molecules are approximately 80 nucleotides in length. Lineage: Eukaryota; Fungi; Olpidiomycota; Olpidiomycetes; Olpidiales; Olpidiaceae. The record is from Rfam by way of RNAcentral.